UACGUAGGGUGCAAGCGUUGUCCGGAAUUAUUGGGCGUAAAGAGCUCGUAGGCGGUCUGUCACGUCGGCUGUGAAAACCCGAGGCUCAACCUCGGGCCUGCAGUCGAUACGGGCAGACUAGAGCUCGGUAGGGGAGACUGGAAUUCCUGGUGUAGCGGUGAAAUGCGCAGAUAUCAGGAGGAACACCGGUGGCGAAGGCGGGUCUCUGGGCCGAAACUGACGCUGAGGAGCGAAAGCGUGGGGAGCGAACAGG
RNAcentral lists this ribosomal RNA (253 nucleotides) under uncultured bacterium. RNAcentral describes it as "partial 16S ribosomal RNA". It matches the Rfam family "Bacterial small subunit ribosomal RNA", at positions 524 to 776 of the family's 1533-position model. The record is from RNAcentral.